GGAACUAUUCCUUGUGAUAUUGGUUCCCUGAAAUCCUUGGAACAUCUAGAUUUAUCAUAUAACAAUUUGUCAGGAGAAGUUCCCUCAUUCAACCUCUCUGCAAAUACGGCCUUAGUAUAUGCAGGAAAUCGUAACUUAUGUGGACAUCCACUUCAAAAGAAUUGCUCAAUAAAUGAACCAUUUGAAUAUGCAGAAUGCAGGAG
This 203-nucleotide unclassified non-coding RNA is filed under the name Hevea brasiliensis (rubber tree). The record is from RNAcentral. Lineage: Eukaryota; Viridiplantae; Streptophyta; Magnoliopsida; Malpighiales; Euphorbiaceae.